AACAGAGGAGAUGCUGCCGAAUUUUCGUUAGAAAUUAUAUGGAUUUAAUGCCUAUAAAAAGGGUUGUUUGUACAACUAUGUGCUAUGUGUUUAUGUGACUGUGGUAUGUAUAUGCGAAGGGUAGAUAUAUAUAUAGGUCUUAAUGCAAUUCAGGGUUAGUCAAUAUGUCUAAUCCGACGACUGAAAUACUAUUUUAUCAUCGUAUAGAAUUGAAGACAUUGACCGAGGCAUUAAUCGAGAAGUGAUUGAAAGGGGUAUUCAGAAAUAGCCAAGCAGAAUGUUACAAGUUGAAGUAGGACGGAGAUUUGUUAUAGAUAAAAGUGUGUCAGAAGCUGGCAGAAAGGAAUGAUUAUGCGGUAUAUAGUGUUACUAGGAAUCUGAGCUAAACUUUGGAGUUAAGGCAAGUACUUCUACCUUCUCUCGCAAUUUAGAAGCAAGUAUUUCUACCCUACUCCUCUAGUACCUAUAGAUACUAAAACCUUCUUUAUAUCAUGAUUCAAAUUAUUUGCAAUUACUUUCUUGUGAAGCAUAUCUAGUACUUUUAAACUUUUUGGUUGAACGGAUAACACUUUUGGUAUCAACUCUACACUAUGAUAUGCAUAAAGAAAUUGUUUUAACAAAAUGUUAUUCUGGCUCUUGAAUUACAUGAUGGAACUGCAGAUUGUUUUAAAAAUUAAACUAUUGGGUUGUUUUUGCGUAAGAGGCUCGGGCACCGGCCCAGCGUGAAAGGUGGCUCCUUAAGCCCGGAUUACCGGAAUUCGUAAUAUUUGUCAACCUUGCUGAAUAAGCUUGGUUUAUGGACUAUAGCAUGACUGAUCAUCUGUUAUAGCCAGGUGUCCAAUUAUUUUUAAAGCCCAAUAAAAUUGUGAAUAGUUUAAAAAGAAGUUACCCUGCCUUCAAGAGAUAUUUGCUUAUACAUUCAUUUCUGCAGUUUUAAAUAUUUUCACUUCUUUAUUAUGGCAUUGCUGUACAACAAAUAUCAAUUUCAUUUUGUUAUUCUUGCUGAGCAUUAUUGCUCAUUCUUGCUAUUCCUUCUAACCCUUUUCAGCUAGGAAUAAAGAUGAUUCACUUAAGACUAGGCAAGGAUUGCAAGUGGUUGAGUUUCAAGCAGAUGGACAGGUAGAGUAUUUAGGAUGAUGUCAUUAAGACUAGAUGCAGUUGGAGUUCUGCAAUUCAAUUCAGUUGGAAAUUAGAUUUGUUUAUUUGGUUAUCAGCUACUCUUCUUAUCGAGGUUUAGCUGAUAAUGUUGUUUAAUUUGUAAAUAAGAUUUUAUAGUUUUAGUUUCUGAUUUCAAUGCUGUAGCCUGUGUGCGAUCCUGUUUUCAGGGGGUGAAAUUGAUUUUGAAUUAAAGACCUUCUUUUAAAAAAA
RNAcentral lists this long non-coding RNA (1368 nucleotides) under Daucus carota (carrot). RNAcentral's name for it is "long non-coding RNA (DCAR_LNC002259)". Lineage: Eukaryota; Viridiplantae; Streptophyta; Magnoliopsida; Apiales; Apiaceae. The record is from RNAcentral.